Molecule: ribosomal RNA, 233 nt
Filed under: uncultured bacterium
Lineage: Bacteria
Description: partial 16S ribosomal RNA
Rfam family: Bacterial small subunit ribosomal RNA
Source: RNAcentral
UGGGCAACCUGCCCCUCUCUCUGGGAUAACCCCGGGGAAACCCGGAGCUAAUACCGGAUACUCCGGCUGGAUCGCAUGGUCCGGCCGGGAAAGGUCCGCCGGAGAGGGAUGGGCCCGCGGCCUAUCAGCUUGUUGGUGGGGUAACGGCUCACCAAGGCUACGACGGGUAGCUGGUCUGAGAGGACGACCAGCCACACUGGAACUGAGACACGGUCCAGACUCCUACGGGAGCA